RNAcentral lists this ribosomal RNA (460 nucleotides) under uncultured bacterium. Its description in RNAcentral is "partial 16S ribosomal RNA". It matches the Rfam family "Bacterial small subunit ribosomal RNA", at positions 338 to 795 of the family's 1533-position model. The record is from RNAcentral.
CCUACGGGGAGCAGCAGUGAGGAAUAUUGGUCAAUGGGCGCGAGCCUGAACCAGCCAAGUAGCGUGAAGGAUGACUGCCCUACGGGUUGUAAACUUCUUUUAUAAAGGAAUAAAGUGAGGCACGUGUGCCUUUUGGUAGGUACUUUAUGAAUAAGGAUCGGCGAAAUCCGGGCCAGCAGCCGCGGUAAUACGGAGGAACCGAGCGUUAUCCGGAUUUAUUGGGUUUAAAGGGAGCGUAGAUGGGUGGUUAAGUCAGUUGUGAAGGUUUGCGGCUAAACCGUAAAAUUGCAAUUGAUACUGGCAGCCUUGAGUACAGUUGAGGUAGGCGGAAUUCGUGGUGUAGCGGUGAAAUGCUUAGAUAUCACGAAGAACUCCGAUUGCGAAGGCAGCUUACUAAACUGCCACUGACAUUGAUGCUCGAAAGUGUGGGUAUCAAACAGGAUUAGAUACCCGAGUAGUC